CCUACGGGUGGCUGCAGUGGGGAAUAUUGCACAAUGGGCGCAAGCCUGAUGCAGCCAUGCCGCGUGUGUGAAGAAGGCCUUCGGGUUGUAAAGCACUUUCAGCGGGGAGGAAGGCGGUGAGGUUAAUAACCUCAUCGAUUGACGUUACCCGCAGAAGAAGCACCGGCUAACUCCGUGCCAGCAGCCGCGGUAAUACGGAGGGUGCAAGCGUUAAUCGGAAUUACUGGGCGUAAAGCGCACGCAGGCGGUCUGUCAAGUCGGAUGUGAAAUCCCCGGGCUCAACCUGGGAACUGCAUUCGAAACUGGCAGGCUAGAGUCUUGUAGAGGGGGGUAGAAUUCCAGGUGUAGCGGUGAAAUGCGUAGAGAUCUGGAGGAAUACCGGUGGCGAAGGCGGCCCCCUGGACAAAGACCGACGCUCAGGUGCGAAAGCGUGGGGAGCAAACAGGAUUAGAUACCCGAGUAGUC
This 465-nucleotide ribosomal RNA is filed under the name uncultured Klebsiella sp. Its description in RNAcentral is "bacterial SSU rRNA". It matches the Rfam family "Bacterial small subunit ribosomal RNA", at positions 338 to 795 of the family's 1533-position model. The record is from RNAcentral. Lineage: Bacteria; Pseudomonadati; Pseudomonadota; Gammaproteobacteria; Enterobacterales; Enterobacteriaceae.